This is a long non-coding RNA of Stegodyphus dumicola, 196 nucleotides long. Lineage: Eukaryota; Metazoa; Arthropoda; Arachnida; Araneae; Eresidae. The record is from RefSeq and is a predicted model, not a curated record.
UCGCGUUUUACCUCACUUGACGCGUUUUACACGUCUCUUGAAAAACAUUAUGAUACUAUCAACACAGCACUUGCAUCUAAAUGUAAUAUGAACGGUGAGCUGCGUGAACAUGCUAGGACGGCUUUGGGUGAGUUAAAAUCUCUUAUAAUUAAAAAUUUUGAAAGAUUACAAUCUGCUAAUUAUCGCGAAGCUUGUG